Molecule: ribosomal RNA, 309 nt
Filed under: uncultured bacterium
Lineage: Bacteria
Description: bacterial SSU rRNA
Rfam family: Bacterial small subunit ribosomal RNA
Source: RNAcentral
CAACGAGCGCAACCCUUGUCNUUAGUUGCCAGCACGUAAUGGUGGGAACUCUAGGGAGACUGCCGGUGACAAACCGGAGGAAGGUGGGGAUGACGUCAAGUCAUCAUGGCCCUUAUGGGCUGGGCUACACACGUGCUACAAUGGCAAGUACAGAGGGUCGCAAACCCGCGAGGGGGAGCCAAUCCCACAAAGCUUGUCCUAGUCCGGAUUGCAGUCUGCAACUCGACUGCAUGAAGUCGGAAUCGCUAGUAAUCGUGGAUCAGCAUUGCCACGGUGAAUACGUUCCCGGGCCUUGUACACACCGCCCGU